This 653-nucleotide ribosomal RNA is filed under the name uncultured Aquabacterium sp. Its description in RNAcentral is "bacterial SSU rRNA". It matches the Rfam family "Bacterial small subunit ribosomal RNA", at positions 28 to 674 of the family's 1533-position model. The record is from RNAcentral. Lineage: Bacteria; Pseudomonadati; Pseudomonadota; Betaproteobacteria; Burkholderiales; Sphaerotilaceae.
AUUGAACGCUGGCGGCAUGCCUUACACAUGCAAGUCGAACGGCAGCGCGGGAGCAAUCCUGGCGGCGAGUGGCGAACGGGUGAGUAAUAUAUCGGAACGUGCCCAGUAGUGGGGGAUAGCCCGGCGAAAGCCGGAUUAAUACCGCAUACGACCUAAGGGUGAAAGGGGGGGAUUCGCAAGAACCUCUCGCUAUUGGAGCGGCCGAUAUCAGAUUAGGUAGUUGGUGGGGUAAAAGCCUACCAAGCCUGCGAUCUGUAGUUGGUCUGAGAGGACGACCAGCCACACUGGGACUGAGACACGGCCCAGACUCCUACGGGAGGCAGCAGUGGGGAAUUUUGGACAAUGGGCGCAAGCCUGAUCCAGCAAUGCCGCGUGCAGGAAGAAGGCCUUCGGGUUGUAAACUGCUUUUGUCAGGGAAGAAAUCCUCUGGGUUAAUACCUCGGGGGGAUGACGGUACCUGAAGAAUAAGCACCGGCUAACUACGUGCCAGCAGCCGCGGUAAUACGUAGGGUGCGAGCGUUAAUCGGAAUUACUGGGCGUAAAGCGUGCGCAGGCGGUUGUGCAAGACAGGUGUGAAAUCCCCGGGCUUAACCUGGGAACUGCACUUGUGACUGCACAGCUAGAGUACGGUAGAGGGGGAUGGAAUUCCGCGU